This 293-nucleotide ribosomal RNA is filed under the name uncultured Dinobryon. Its description in RNAcentral is "partial Bacterial large subunit ribosomal RNA". It matches the Rfam family "Bacterial large subunit ribosomal RNA", at positions 2132 to 2423 of the family's 2925-position model. Lineage: Eukaryota; Chrysophyceae; Chromulinales. The record is from RNAcentral.
ACAUGCGUAGCGUAGGUGGGAGGCGUUGAGCCCGGACUUUCGGGUCCGGGGGAGCCGGCGAUGAAACACCACCCUUGUCGUGCUUGAAUUCUAACCCGGUCCGGUGAACCCCGGCCGGGGACCGUGCUAAGUGGGCAGUUUGAUUGGGGCGAUCUCCUCCCAAACGGUAACGGAGGAGCCCAACGGUACCCUCAGCCCGGUCGGCAAUCGGGCAGCGAGCGUAAGCGUAGAAGGGUGCUUGACUGCGAGGCCGAUAGGCCGAGCAGGGGCGAAAGCCGGGGCUAGUGAUCCGG